AGUCUGAUGGAGCAACGCCGCGUGAGUGAAGAAGGUUUUCGGAUCGUAAAGCUCUGUUGUUGGUGAAGAAGGAUAGAGGUAGUAACUGGCCUUUAUUUGACGGUAAUCAACCAGAAAGUCACGGCUAACUACGUGCCAGCAGCCGCGGUAAGUACGUAGGUGGCAAGCGUUGUCCGGAUUUAUUGGGCGUAAAGCGAGCGCAGGACGGAAAAAUAAGUCUAAUGUGAAAGCCCUCGGCUUAACCGAGGAAUUGCAUCGGAAACUGUUUUUCUUGAGUGCAGAAGAGGAGAGUGGAACUCCAUGUGUAGCGGUGGAAUGCGUAGAUAUAUGGAAGAACACCAGUGGCGAAGGCGGCUCUCUGGUCUGCAACUGACGCUGAGGCUCGAAAGCAUGGGUAAACGAACAGGAUUAGAUACCCUGGUAGUCCUGCCGUA
Molecule: ribosomal RNA, 434 nt
Filed under: Lactobacillus sp. oral taxon 461
Lineage: Bacteria; Bacillati; Bacillota; Bacilli; Lactobacillales; Lactobacillaceae
Description: bacterial SSU rRNA
Rfam family: Bacterial small subunit ribosomal RNA
Source: RNAcentral